GGGCGGGGGCMCGGSGGGCCUACSGGAGGCAGGGCACGGGAAUAUACGCAAGGCAGCAGAGGGGAAUAUUGGMCAAUGGGCGCAAGCCUGUCCAGCCAUGCCGSGWAAGUGAUGAAGGCCCUAGGGUUGURAAKCUCUUCACCGGGAAGAUAAUGACGUAGCAGAGAUAGACCCGKUCCA
Molecule: ribosomal RNA, 180 nt
Filed under: uncultured bacterium
Lineage: Bacteria
Description: partial 16S ribosomal RNA
Source: RNAcentral